GGUGCCGUAGCUCAGUGGCUUAGAGCGUACGAUUGCAACGCAGUUCAAAGAUCGUAAGGUCCCGUGUUCGAACCACGGUGGCACCU
Non-coding RNA from Mycena filopes, 86 nucleotides. Lineage: Eukaryota; Fungi; Basidiomycota; Agaricomycetes; Agaricales; Mycenaceae. The record is from the annotation of a GenBank genome assembly.